UGGUGGGGUAUUCUAAAAAUGAUAAAGUAUACAUAGAGGUUAUGAGUGAUCAAUAAGGAAUCAAUCACUCCUAAUAAGGAGAGCAAACAUCCUAUGUGAUCUCAUAGGAUGAUGAUUCUGGAAGUCUUUGGCCAAAGCAGGAUGAUAAUUAGAAAAGAGUUUCUAAUAUAUUAUUAACUAAAUCAUCACCUUCAGAUCAAGAUACAUAAAGAUAAAUGAUUGAAUUUGACAUAUUUUUAUGCCCACAGCUCAUCUGGGAUGUUGUUUG
Molecule: long non-coding RNA, 268 nt
Filed under: Elaeis guineensis (African oil palm)
Lineage: Eukaryota; Viridiplantae; Streptophyta; Magnoliopsida; Arecales; Arecaceae
Description: long non-coding RNA (EGUI_LNC080749)
Source: RNAcentral